AUGCAAUCUGGCUUCAUCAGGGGGAGAGCCAUCGUUGAAAACUUUGCGCUAGCUUCUGAGUUGGUACAAUGUGCGCAAAAGAGGAAGAUACCCAUGAUGAUACUCAAGUUGGAUUUCAAAAAGGCUUUUGAUAGUGUCAACUGGAACUGUCUCACGAACCUGAUGCAACACAGAGGUUUUGGCACUCGUUGGAUUUCUUGGGUCUCCUCCAUUCUCAAUUCUGGCAAGGCUAAGGUUAUGAUGAAUGGCUGCCUCGGAGAUGAUAUUUUCUUCAAUUGUGGAGUUCGCCAGGGUGACCCUCUCUCUCCGUAUCUCUUCAUUUUGGUUGCUGACAUCCUACAACGUAUG
This 348-nucleotide ribosomal RNA is filed under the name Triticum aestivum (bread wheat). RNAcentral's name for it is "partial small subunit ribosomal RNA". Lineage: Eukaryota; Viridiplantae; Streptophyta; Magnoliopsida; Poales; Poaceae. The record is from RNAcentral.